UGGGGAAUAUUGCACAAUGGGCGCAAGCCUGAUGCAGCCAUGCCGCGUGUGUGAAGAAGGCCUUCGGGUUGUAAAGCACUUUCAGCGGGGAGGAAGGCGGUGAGGUUAAUAACCUCAUCGAUUGACGUUACCCACAGAAGAAGCACCGGCUAACUCCGUGCCAGCAGCCGCGGUAAUACGGAGGGUGCAAGCGUUAAUCGGAAUUACUGGGCGUAAAGCGCACGCAGGCGGUCUGUCAAGUCGGAUGUGAAAUCCCCGGGCUCAACCUGGGAACUGCAUUCGAAACUGGCAGGCUAGAGUCUUGUAGAGGGGGGUAGAAUUCCAGGUGUAGCGGUGAAAUGCGUAGAGAUCUGGAGGAAUACCGGUGGCGAAGGCGGCCCCCUGGACAAAGACUGACGCUCAGGUGCGAAAGCGUGGGGAGCAAACAGG
RNAcentral lists this ribosomal RNA (429 nucleotides) under Chloroflexota bacterium. RNAcentral's name for it is "Chloroflexi bacterium partial 16S ribosomal RNA". It matches the Rfam family "Bacterial small subunit ribosomal RNA", at positions 355 to 776 of the family's 1533-position model. The record is from RNAcentral. Lineage: Bacteria; Bacillati; Chloroflexota.